Molecule: microRNA precursor, 204 nt
Filed under: Oryza sativa Indica Group (long-grained rice)
Lineage: Eukaryota; Viridiplantae; Streptophyta; Magnoliopsida; Poales; Poaceae
Description: MIR812 microRNA precursor family
Rfam family: MIR812 microRNA precursor family
Source: Rfam by way of RNAcentral
AAUAAGUGCAGCCAUGGUUUUCCGCGCUCAACUUUAACCAUUCAUCUUAUUUGAAUUUUUUUUAAAAAAAAUUAAAACAUAAGUCACGAGUAAAGUACUAUUUAUGUUUUAUCAUCUUAUAACAACAAAAAUGCUAAUUAUGAAAAAAAUUCAAAUAAGAUGGACGAUCAAAGUUGAGCGCGAAAACUCAUGGCUAUACUUAUU